CAGAUUGGACAUUGGUGUAAUGGGACCAUUCAUACGUGGAUGAGGGAGAUUAGGUGCCAUUGGUACAGGACCAUUUACUCCUCUUGGUGAAGGAAGAGCCGGCAUUGGUGGAUUAGGAAGUAAACCGGAAGACGGUGGUGGAAGGUGAGGUUGCCCUGGAACCAGCGGAUGUAGUUGAGGUUGAACUUGAUUUCCAACUGGACUUGGAUCUAUAAGAGAAGUUUGAAGAUAUCGCAUAUAAGCAGAUAUAGGAGAGUCAGCUGUGUUUGCCCAUGGAGCAUCACCAGGAACCAUAGGUUGCAUCAUUGUAGAUGGUGGUUGUCCAUAUUGACCAGGUGGUCCAGGCCUAACUAAGCCAGGGUUAUUAUAUGGACCAGGAGGUGGAACCGGAGCCGGUGCAUGAGCAGGAACAGGGGCAGGGACAGGAGCCGGGGGAGGAAUAUGAG
This 446-nucleotide long non-coding RNA is filed under the name Gossypium raimondii (Peruvian cotton). Its description in RNAcentral is "long non-coding RNA (GRAI_LNC002449)". Lineage: Eukaryota; Viridiplantae; Streptophyta; Magnoliopsida; Malvales; Malvaceae. The record is from RNAcentral.